AGGGGUUUAGGAUAACAAAAGACCAAGAGCCUUCAAAGCCCUAAGUAAGUAUAAAUACUUAACCCCUG
This 68-nucleotide transfer RNA is filed under the name Acratocnus ye. Its description in RNAcentral is "tRNA-Trp". The record is from RNAcentral. Lineage: Eukaryota; Metazoa; Chordata; Mammalia; Pilosa; Megalonychidae.